Long non-coding RNA from Oncorhynchus keta (chum salmon), 2415 nucleotides. RefSeq lists it as uncharacterized. The record is from RefSeq and is a predicted model, not a curated record. Lineage: Eukaryota; Metazoa; Chordata; Actinopteri; Salmoniformes; Salmonidae. The transcript has 4 exons.
GGGGUUGAGAGACGGUGGGAGAGAGGAGAGGGGUAGACAGAGGGGUAGACAGAGGGGUAGACAGAGGGGUAGACAGAGGGGUAGACAGGAGAGGGGUAGACAGAGGGAGACAGGAGAGGGGUAGACAGAGGGGUAGACAGAGGGGUAGACAGAGGGGUAGACAGAGGGGUAGACAGAGGGGGAGACAGGAGAGGGGUAGACAGAGGGAGACAGGAGAGGGGUAGACAGAGGGAGACAGGAGAGGGGUAGACAGAGGGAGACAGGAGAGGGGUAGACAGAGGGAGACAGGAGAGGGGUAGACAGAGGGAGACAGGAGAGGGGUAGACAGGAGAGGGGUAGACAGAGGGAGGGGUAGACAGGAGAGAGGUAGACAGAGGGAGAGAGGAGACGGGUAGACAGGAGAGAGGUAGACAGAGGGAGAGAGGAGAGGGGUAGACAGGAGAGAGGUAGACAGAGGGAGACAGGAGAGGGGUAGACAGGAGAGGGGUAGACAGGAGAGGGGUAGACAGGAGAGGGGUAGACAGGAGAGGGGUAGACAGAGGGAGACAGGAGAGGGGUAGACAGAGGGAGACAGGAGAGGGGUAGACAGAGGGAGACAGGAGAGGGGUAGACAGAGGGAGAGAGGUAGACAGGAGAGAGGUAGACGGAGGGAGACAGGGGGAGACAGGAGAGGGGUAGACAGAGGGAGACAGGUGAGGGGUAGACAGAGGGAGACAGGUGAGGGGUAGACAGAGGGAGACAGGUGAGGGGUAGACAGAGGGAGACAGGAGAGAGGAGAGGGGUAGACAGAGGGAGAGAGGAGAGGGGUAGACAGAGGGAGACAGGAGAGAGGUAGACAGAGGGAGACAGGUAGACGGAGGGAGACAGGAGAGGGGUAGACGGAGGGAGACAGGAGAGGGGUAGACGGAGGGAGACAGGAGAGGGGUAGACAGAGGGAGACAGGAGAGAGGUAGACGGAGGGAGACAGGAGAGGGGUAGACAGAGGGAGACAGGAGAGGGGUAGACAGAGGGAGACAGGAGAGGGGUAGACGGAGGGAGACAGGAGAGGGGUAGACAGAGGGAGACAGGAGAGAGGUAGACAGGAGGGAGACAGGAGAGGGGUAGACAGAGGGAGACAGGAGAGAGGUAGACAGAGGGAGACAGGAGAGAGGGAGACAGGAGAGAGGGAGACAGGAGAGAGGGAGACAGGAGAGAGGGAGACAGGAGAGGGGUAGACAGGAGAGGGGUAGACAGGAGAGGGGUAGACAGGAGAGGGGUAGACAGGAGAGGGGUAGACAGGAGAGGGGUAGACAGAGGGAGACAGGAGAGGGGUAGACAGAGGGAGAGAGGUAGACAGAGGGAGAGAGGAGAGGGGUAGACAGAGGGAGACAGGAGAGGGGUAGACAGAGGGAGACAGGAGAGGGGUAGACAGAGGGAGACAGGAGAGGGGUAGACAGAGGGAGACAGGAGAGAGGUAGACAGAGGGAGACAGGAGAGAGGUAGACAGAGGGAGACAGGAGAGAGGUAGACAGGAGAGGGGUAGACAGGAGAGGGGUAGACAGGAGAGGGGUAGACAGGAGAGGGGUAGACAGGAGAGGGGUAGACAGGAGAGGGGUAGACAGGAGAGGGGUAGACAGGAGAGAGGUAGACAAAGGGAGACAGGAGAGGGGUAGACAGGAGAGGGGUAGACAGGAGAGAGGUAGACAGGAGAGAGGUAGACAGAGGGAGACAGGAGAGAGAUAGACAGAGGGAGACAGGAGAGAGGUAGACAGAGGGGGACAGGAGAGAGGUAGACAGAGGGGGACAGGAGAGAGGUAGACAGGAGAGAGGUAGACAGAGGGAGAGAGGAGAGGGGUAGACAGGAGAGGGGUAGACAGAGGGGGACAGGAGAGAGGUAGACAGAGGGAGAGAGGAGAGGGGUAGACAGGAGAGAGGUAGACAGAGGGAGACAGGAGAGAGGUAGACAGAGGGGGACAGGAGAGAGGUAGACAGGAGAGAGACCGUUCAAACCAUCAUUAAACCCUAAAUGACUUAUCAAAUGAUGCACACAGCAUAUCUUAACGGGCUUCAACUUCAACCAGAGCAUAUAAAGUAUUUAUUAAAGGGUGCGUCAAUAGUAGAGGUCGACCGAUUAUGAUUUCUCAACGCCGAUACCGAUUAUUGGAGGACCGAAAAAGCCGAUGCCGAUUAAUCGGCCGAUUCUUUUCACAUUUAUUUGUAAUAAUGACAAUUACAACAAUACUGAAUGAACACUUAUUUUAACUUAAUAUAAUACAUCAAUAAAAUCAAUUUAGCCUCAAAUAAAUAAUGAAACAUGAUCAAUUUGGUUUAAAUAAUGCAAAAACAAAGUGUUGGAGAAGAAAGUAAAAGUGCAAUAUGUGCCAUGUAAGAAAGAUAACGUUUCAGUUCCUUGUUCAGAACAUGAGAACAUAUGAA